Molecule: ribosomal RNA, 887 nt
Filed under: uncultured bacterium
Lineage: Bacteria
Description: bacterial SSU rRNA
Rfam family: Bacterial small subunit ribosomal RNA
Source: RNAcentral
AAGGGUUUGAUCCUGGCUCAGAUUGAACGCUGGCGGCAGGCCUAACACAUGCAAGUCGAGCGGAUGAAGGGAGCUUGCUCCUGGAUUCAGCGGCGGACGGGUGAGUAAUGCCUAGGAAUCUGCCUGGUAGUGGGGGAUAACGUCCGGAAACGGGCGCUAAUACCGCAUACGUCCUGAGGGAGAAAGUGGGGGAUCUUCGGACCUCACGCUAUCAGAUGAGCCUAGGUCGGAUUAGCUAGUUGGUGGGGUAAAGGCCUACCAAGGCGACGAUCCGUAACUGGUCUGAGAGGAUGAUCAGUCACACUGGAACUGAGACACGGUCCAGACUCCUACGGGAGGCAGCAGUGGGGAAUAUUGGACAAUGGGCGAAAGCCUGAUCCAGCCAUGCCGCGUGUGUGAAGAAGGUCUUCGGAUUGUAAAGCACUUUAAGUUGGGAGGAAGGGCAGUAAGUUAAUACCUUGCUGUUUUGACGUUACCAACAGAAUAAGCACCGGCUAACUUCGUGCCAGCAGCCGCGGUAAUACGAAGGGUGCAAGCGUUAAUCGGAAUUACUGGGCGUAAAGCGCGCGUAGGUGGUUCAGCAAGUUGGAUGUGAAAUCCCCGGGCUCAACCUGGGAACUGCAUCCAAAACUACUGAGCUAGAGUACGGUAGAGGGUGGUGGAAUUUCCUGUGUAGCGGUGAAAUGCGUAGAUAUAGGAAGGAACACCAGUGGCGAAGGCGACCACCUGGACUGAUACUGACACUGAGGUGCGAAAGCGUGGGGAGCAAACAGGAUUAGAUACCCUGGUAGUCCACGCCGUAAACGAUGUCGACUAGCCGUUGGGGAUCCUUGAGAUCUUAGUGGCGCAGCUAACGCGAUAAGUCGACCGCCUGGGGGAGUACGGCC